Molecule: small nuclear RNA, 21 nt
Filed under: Arabidopsis thaliana (thale cress)
Lineage: Eukaryota; Viridiplantae; Streptophyta; Magnoliopsida; Brassicales; Brassicaceae
Description: snRNA_16875
Source: RNAcentral
GAAGCUAAACCCCUAGGGAGC